UGCAAGUCGAACGGUUAAAGCAUCUUCGGAUGUGUAUAAAGUGGCGAACGGCUGAGUAACACGUGGGCAACCUGCCCUUUGCACUGGGAUAGCCUCGGGAAACCGAGGUUAAUACCGGAUACUCCAUAUUUGUCGCAUGGCGAAUAUGGGAAAGCUCCGGCGGCAAAGGAUGGGCCCGCGGCCUGUUAGCUAGUUGGUGGGGUAGUGGCCUACCAAGGCAAUGAUGGGUAGCCGGGUUGAGAGACCGACCGGCCAGAUUGGGACUGAGACACGGCCCAGACUCCUACGGGAGGCAGCAGUGGGGAAUCUUGCACAAUGGGCGAAAGCCUGAUGCAGCGACGCCGCGUGCGGGAUGAAGGCCUUCGGGUUGUAAACCGCUUUCAGCAGGGACGAGGCCGCAAGGUGACGGUACCUGCAGAAGAAGCCCCGGCUAACUACGUGCCAGCAGCCGCGGUAAUACGUAGGGGGCAAGCGUUAUCCGGAUUCAUUGGGCGUAAAGCGCGCGUAGGCGGUCUGUUAGGCCAGGAGUUAAAUCUGGGGGCUCAACCCCUAUCCGCUCCUGAUACCGGCAGGCUUGAGUCUGGUAGGGGAAGAUGGAAUUCCAAGUGUAGCGGUGAAAUGCGCAGAUAUUUGGAAGAACACCGGUGGCGAAGGCGGUCUUCUGGGCCAUGACUGACGCUGAGGCGCGAAAGCUAGGGGAGCGAACAGGAUUAGAUACCCUGGUAGUCCUAGCUGUAAACGAUGGACACUAGGUGUGGGGAGAUUAUACUUUCCGUGCCGCAGCUAACGCAUUAAGUGUCCCGCCUGGGGAGUACGGUCGCAAGACUAAAACUCAAAGGAAUUGACGGGG
Molecule: ribosomal RNA, 850 nt
Filed under: uncultured bacterium
Lineage: Bacteria
Description: bacterial SSU rRNA
Rfam family: Bacterial small subunit ribosomal RNA
Source: RNAcentral